AUGGGGGAAAGGUCAACAUAUUAAUUACAUCGCCUGUUGAUUUUGUUUUGAUUGUGUCAUUUUGCUAUAAAGAUGAGACAAUUGAAACUUCAACAGAUGAAAGGUUGUUUUGCAUUGAAGUAAAAAGUGAUGGCACAAAACAACUUAAAAGAAUCAUGCAUAUUACUAUCAAGUUACGGCUCAGUUGUCAUGCACAGGUUUGAGAUACUGUGAUUUGUUGUGUGGACAGAGAAAGACUUGUUUGUUGAACAAAUCUUGCAAAAUAACGAAUUACUUGAAAGGAACAUGGAGGCAGCAAAGAAAUUUGUGUUGAAAAGACUCCUUCCAGAGUUAACUGGAAAAUGGUACUGAAGACCCAAAAAAUUGAAUAAAUGAAAUAUAAUGAAA
Molecule: long non-coding RNA, 387 nt
Organism: Xenia sp. Carnegie-2017
Lineage: Eukaryota; Metazoa; Cnidaria; Anthozoa; Malacalcyonacea; Xeniidae
Exons: 2
Source: RefSeq, a predicted model, not a curated record